Molecule: non-coding RNA, 183 nt
Filed under: Mycoplasmatota bacterium
Lineage: Bacteria; Bacillati; Mycoplasmatota
Description: 6S RNA
Rfam family: 6S / SsrS RNA
About the family: E. coli 6S RNA was the first non coding RNA to be sequenced, but its function was unknown until recently. It consists of 184 nucleotides that fold into an extended hairpin structure with a large single-stranded internal bulge.
Source: RNAcentral
AAUUGUCAGAGAGAUACGACACCGGCUCAAUUAAAACCGACUAAAAUUGCGAUACGGGAGCCUCGAUCAGUUAUCGGUGUUGAAUACUUGCUUUUAGUAAGGAUCCUAAUGAUAACGUACGGGCACCCACCUGGACUAUGGACAGGUUUUAUCGUAUGCUAGGACGUUCUCACCUGACUUUUU